GUUUCAUUUAAAAUUUUUAUAGAAUUUUAUUUUUUAGUUAAAAAGCUAAAAUUAAUUCAAAAGACGAGAAGACCCUAUAAAUCUUAAUUAUUAAAUUAAUUUUAAUUAUUUUUGAUUAAUUUUGUUAUUAUUAUUUAAAUAAUUUUAUUGGGGUGAUAUUAAAAUUUAUAUAACUUUUAAUUAUUUUAUUUCAUUAAUUUAUGAAUAAAUGAUCCAUUUUUAGUGAUUAAAAAAUUAAGUUACUUUAGGGAUAACAGCGUAAUUUUUUUGGAGAGUUCUUAUCGAUAAAAAAGUUUGCGACCUCGAUGUUGGAUUAAGAUUCAUAUUUAAAUGCAGAAGUUUAAAUAUUAAGUCUGUUCGACUUUUAUUUCUUACAUGAUCUGAGUUCAAACCGGUGUAAGCCAGGUUGGUUUCUAUCUUUGAUUUUUUUAUAUAUUUUAGUACGAAAGGAAUAAAUAUAUAUUAUUUAAUAAUUAUUUUAUGAAU
Molecule: ribosomal RNA, 486 nt
Filed under: Teleopsis trichophora
Lineage: Eukaryota; Metazoa; Arthropoda; Insecta; Diptera; Diopsidae
Description: partial 16S ribosomal RNA
Rfam family: Bacterial large subunit ribosomal RNA (bases 250-408)
Source: RNAcentral